Long non-coding RNA from Oncorhynchus tshawytscha (Chinook salmon), 408 nucleotides. NCBI's taxonomy places the organism in Eukaryota, Metazoa, Chordata, Actinopteri, Salmoniformes, Salmonidae. The record is from Ensembl.
CAGGGCAGAGGAAGGAGAAACAGGGAAUUAAUGCAGGGCAGAGGAAGGAGAAACAGGUAAUUAAUGAAGGUCAGAGGAAGGAGAAACGGAAUUAAUGCAGGGCAGAGGAAGGAGAAACAGGGAAUUAAUGCAGGGCAGAGGAAGGAGAAACAGGGAAUUAAUGCAGGGCAGAGGAAGGAGAAACAGGGAAUUAAUGAAGGUCAGAGGAAGGAGAAACAGGGAAUUAAUGAAGGUCAGAGGAAGGAGAAACAGGGAAUUAAUGCAGGGCAGAGGAAGGAGAAACAGGGAAUUAAUGCAGGGCAGAGGAAGAAGAAACAGGGAAUUAAUGCAGGGCAGAGGAAGGAGAAACAGGGAAUUAAUGCAGGGCAGAGGAAGGAGAAACAGGGAAUUAAUGCAGGGCAGAGGAAG